This is a long non-coding RNA of Gorilla gorilla gorilla (western lowland gorilla), 619 nucleotides long. RefSeq lists it as uncharacterized. NCBI's taxonomy places the organism in Eukaryota, Metazoa, Chordata, Mammalia, Primates, Hominidae. The record is from RefSeq and is a predicted model, not a curated record. The transcript has 3 exons.
UUAUUUUGUAUUUCUUUUAGAUAUAUUAUAAAACAAGAAAUUUAGUUCCCAUGUAUCCAAGCUGUCCCUUCGGAAGGUGAUCAGAAGAGAGAAAUGAGUUUGGAAAAGAAAAGGAAUAGCUGAACAAGAGUAAGAGUUUCUGCAAUAAAGCCUUAAAAGAGAAUAAAAAUGUGGAAAAGUGAAGGUAGACACUGGAGCUGCACUUAAAUAGUUCUUAGGAGCCCAAAGAAAGCAAGUGAUUUCAGAAAUCUAAACCCUGAGAAAACAUGGGUAACAGAGAAGAACUUUUGCUGUGAUAUCUACUUCUGCAGGGAGUAGAGAAACAGAAGUAGAAGGUAAAUCUGAGACAUCUCUUACUUACAGAGGACAGACAUAAGUCCAAACAAAUCAACAGCCACAACAAUUUUUAAAUGGAUCCAAUCCAUCCACUAAAAAGCUACAUACAAGAUUAUUUUGUAAAUAAAAGGCUGAUAUAGUAUUAGGAAUAGCAGGCAUCACCAGUACUUUUCAACUAGAGUACAAAGUGAAAGGAUUGAGAAAAUAGAUAAUAGAGAACAGCUCACCAAGAAGAUAUAAAAUCAUGGACAUUCCUACACAAGGAAAAACUGACAGCUCCACA